GCGACGCCGCGUGAGGGAAGAAGGUUUUCGGAUUGUAAACCUCUGUCCUUGGUGAAGAUAAUGACGGUAACCAAGGAGGAAGCCACGGCUAACUACGUGCCAGCAGCCGCGGUAAUACGUAGGUGGCAAGCGUUGUCCGGAAUUACUGGGUGUAAAGGGAGCGUAGGCGGGAAUAUAAGUUGAAUGUUAAAUCUACCGGCUUAACCGGUAGCCGCGUUCAAAACUAUAAUUCUUGAGUGAAGUAGAGGCAGGCGGAAUUCCUAGUGUAGCGGUGGAAUGCGUAAAUAUUAGGAGGAACACCAGUGGCGAAGGCGGCCUGCUGGGCUUUAACUGACGCUGAGGCUCGAAAGCGUGGGGAGCAAACAGGAUUAGAUACCCUGGUAGUCCACGCUGUAAACGAUGAUUACUAGGUGUGGGGGGACUGACCCCUUCCGUGCCGCAGUUAACACAAUAAGUAAUCCACCUGGGGAGUACGACCGCAAGGUUGAAACUCAAAGGAAUUGACGGGGGCCCGCACAAGCAGUGGAGUAUGUGGUUUAAUUCGAAGCAACGCGAAGAACCUUACCAGGUCUUGACAUCCAGCGCAAACCUAAGAGAUUAGGCUUUCCCUUCGGGGACGCUGA
RNAcentral lists this ribosomal RNA (623 nucleotides) under uncultured bacterium. Its description in RNAcentral is "bacterial SSU rRNA". It matches the Rfam family "Bacterial small subunit ribosomal RNA", at positions 391 to 1032 of the family's 1533-position model. The record is from RNAcentral.